This 243-nucleotide long non-coding RNA is filed under the name Nicotiana benthamiana. RNAcentral describes it as "long non-coding RNA (NBEN_LNC001136)". The record is from RNAcentral. Lineage: Eukaryota; Viridiplantae; Streptophyta; Magnoliopsida; Solanales; Solanaceae.
AUAAUAAUGUAGCACCGAGAUACGGUAAUUAACAAGAAUAACAACGACACCAAAAUUUUUACAUGGAAAACCCUUUUGAAUAAGGGAAAAAACCACGACCCCGAGAGAAGCAACUGAUAUCACUAUAGUAAGGAAUUUUAUACUUCGUAGUACCGAGUAAAAUACUCCAAAGACCACUAUACACUCAAAAGAAAUAACCCUCUUUUGAUAUUUCCACCUUACUACAAUAUCGCUCACUCUCUA